AGAAGAAGAAAAUGUCUACACUUAUUAUACCUACAAUUUCUCCUUCUCCAAGAUAUGAUGCCAUGCAACUCUACCGUGCUUUCAAAGGAGCAUCAAGAUUUUUUAGGGUAAAUCUUUACAUUAACCACAACUGAAACCCCAACUGGAAGGUGUUACAUCUUCAAACCAAAGUGAAAUGUUGAACAAAUUAACCACAAUAAAAGACAGAAGCUACCAAAGCUUAACCAUCAAGAGCAUGAAAUAAAAGAUGAGCCUUGGUAACUCAAGACAAAAGCAAAAACGCCAAUGCCUAUCAAGCUGGGGUUUCGAUAAUCAAGCAGGGGGUUAAGGUCACUGGAAUCUGUACUAUAGUUUCCAUUGGCAUCUUAUUCAUGGGCAUGAUUUGAAGUCUGUAACAUGUUCUCUUGCAGCAAAAGUCGUUGGAUAUAUUUGUGGUCAAUUCUUUUGGAUCUGGGUUCCAGGUAUGUCUUGCAAUAAUAACGUGAAAUACAAAUGGUUUAAAUAUGAUGAUUGGUGCAAUAUCAAUUACAAAGAAUAAGUGUACCUUUCACAAUUUGUAAAUGACCUGAUAAAACAAAUGUGUAGUCUCUAUAUCCUGUUUUGCUAAUAUCUUAAUAGAUGUGCUAUCUUGUGAGUUCAAAUUAUAUGUAUGCUUUCUAUCCUUUUAGAUAAUCUCAAAAUGCAUUACUUUUGUUUGUCCCAUUACAAUAACAAAUGCGAACUGUUAGAAUACUUGUACUAUUAGUUACAAAAUUCGAGUUUAUUUUGGUCAUGCAUAUUUUAUGUAUCUUAAUUAAAUAAUAAUUAUGAGCCAUAU
This is a long non-coding RNA of Vicia villosa (hairy vetch), 817 nucleotides long. RefSeq lists it as uncharacterized. The record is from RefSeq and is a predicted model, not a curated record. NCBI's taxonomy places the organism in Eukaryota, Viridiplantae, Streptophyta, Magnoliopsida, Fabales, Fabaceae. The transcript is spliced from 3 exons.